Molecule: ribosomal RNA, 396 nt
Filed under: Stramenopiles sp. MOCH-3
Lineage: Eukaryota
Description: partial small subunit ribosomal RNA
Rfam family: Eukaryotic small subunit ribosomal RNA
Source: RNAcentral
AUUCCAGCUCCAAUAGCGUAUAUUAAAGUUGUUGCAGUUAAAAAGCUCGUAGUUGGAUUUCUGAUUGAGACAUCAGGUCGGGUCCGAGAGGAUCAUGUACUUUGAUUUGUUUUGAUCAUCCUUGGGGAGAGCAAUUCUGGCAUUAAGUUGUCGGGGUUGGGAUCCUCAUCGUUUACUGUGAAAAAAUUAGAGUGUUCAAAGCAGGCCUCGGCCUCUGAAUACAUUAGCAUGGAAUAAUAAGAUAGGACUUUGGUGGUCUAUUUUGUUGGUUUGCACGCCAAAGUAAUGAUUAAUAGGGAUAGUUGGGGGUAUUCGUAUUCAAUUGUCAGAGGUGAAAUUCUUGGAUUUAUGGAAGACGAACUACUGCGAAAGCAUUUACCAAGGAUGUUUUCAUCA